UGAGGAAUAUUGGUCAAUGGGGGCAACCCUGAACCAGCCAAGUCGCGUGAAGGAUGAAGGUCUUAUGGAUUGUAAACUUCUUUUAUACAGGAAUAAAUUGGGGGACGUGUCCCCUUUUGCAUGUACUGUAUGAAUAAGGAUCGGCUAACUCCGUGCCAGCAGCCGCGGUAAUACGGAGGAUCCGAGCGUUAUCCGGAUUUAUUGGGUUUAAAGGGUGCGCAGGCGGGAUGUUAAGUCGGCGGUGAAAUUUUGCAGCUCAACUGUAAAAGUGCCUUCGAUACUGGCCUCCUUGAGUGUGGAUGAAGUAGGCAGAAUUUGUGGUGUAGCGGUGAAAUGCUUAGAUAUCACGAGGAACUCCGAUUGCGCAGGCAGCUUACUAAGCCACAACUGACGCUCAUGCACGAAGGCGUGGGGAUCAAACA
Molecule: ribosomal RNA, 422 nt
Filed under: uncultured bacterium
Lineage: Bacteria
Description: bacterial SSU rRNA
Rfam family: Bacterial small subunit ribosomal RNA
Source: RNAcentral